UACGGGGGGGGCAAGCGUUGUUCGGAAUUACUGGGCGUAAAGGGCUCGUAGGCGGCCAACUAAGUCAGACGUGAAAUCCCUCGGCUCAACCGGGGAACUGCGUCUGAUACUGGAUGGCUUGAAUCCGGAAGAGGGAUGCGGAAUUCCAGGUGUAGCGGUGAAAUGCGUAGAUAUCUGGAGGAAUACCGGUGGCGAAGGCGGCAUCCUGGACCGAGAUUGACACUGAGGAGCGAAAGCCAGGGGAGCAAACGGG
Molecule: ribosomal RNA, 253 nt
Filed under: uncultured bacterium
Lineage: Bacteria
Description: partial 16S ribosomal RNA
Rfam family: Bacterial small subunit ribosomal RNA
Source: RNAcentral